This 1537-nucleotide ribosomal RNA is filed under the name synthetic construct. RNAcentral's name for it is "bacterial SSU rRNA". It matches the Rfam family "Bacterial small subunit ribosomal RNA". RNAcentral also lists the same sequence under 1 other name. The record is from RNAcentral.
AGAGUUUGAUCCUGGCUCAGAUUGAACGCUGGCGGCAGGCCUAACACAUGCAAGUCGAACGGUAACAGGAAACAGAUUGCUGUUUCGCUGACGAGUGGCGGACGGGUGAGUAAUGUCUGGGAAACUGCCUGAUGGAGGGGGAUAACUACUGGAAACGGUAGCUAAUACCGCAUAACGUCGCAAGACCAAAGAGGGGGACCCUCGGGCCUCUUGCCAUCGGAUGUGCCCAGAUGGGAUUAGCUUGUUGGUGGGGUAACGGCUCAACACACAGGGGAUCCGAUCCCUAAGCUUGUUCUGAGAGGACUGACCAGCCACACGUGGAACUGAGACACGGUUCAGACUUCUACGGGAGGCAGCAGUGGGGAAUAUUGCACAAUGGGCGCAAGGCUGAUGCAGGCAUGCCGCGUGUAUGAAGAAGGCCUUCGGGUUGUAAAGUACUUUCAGCAGGGAGGAAGGGAGUAAAGUUAAUACCUUUGCUCAUUGACGUUACCCGCCAGAAGAAGCACCGGCUAACUCCGUGCCAGCAGCCGCGGUAAUACGGAGGGUGCAAGCGUUAAUCGGAAUUACUGGGCGUAAAGCGCACGCAGGCGGUUUGUUAAGUCAGAUGUGAAAUCCCCGGGCUCAACCUGGGAACUGCAUCUGAUACUGGCAAGCUUGAGUCUCGUAGAGGGGGGUAGAAUUCCAGGUGUAGCGGUGAAAUGCGUAGAGAUCUGGAGGAAUACCGGUGGCGAAGGCGGCCCCCUGGACGAAGACUGACGCUCAGGUGCGAAAGCGUGGGGAGCAAACAGGAUUAGAUACCCUGGUAGUCCACGCCGUAAACGAUGUCGACUUGGAGGUUGUGCCCUUGAGGCGUGGCUUCCGGAGCUAACGCGUUAAGUCGACCGCCUGGAGGAGUACGGCCGCAAGGUUAAAACUUCUAAUGAAUUGACCGGGGGCCCGCACAAGCGGUGGAGCAUGUGCGUUUAAUUCGAUGCAACGCGAAGAAUGCUUACCUGGUCUUGACAUUCCACGGACGUUUUCGGAGAUGUGAAUGUGCCUUCGGGAACCGUGAAGACAGGUAGCGUGCAUGGCUGUCGUCACUGCUCGUGUUGUGAAAUGUUGGGUUCAGUCCCGCAACGAGCUGCUAUACCUCAGUGCUAUACGCUCUUGUUGCCAGCGGUCCGGCCGGGAACUCAAAGGAGACUGCCAGUGAUAAACUGGAGGAAGGUGGGGAUGACGUCAAGUCAUCAUGGCCCUUACGACCAGGGCUACACACGUGCUACAAUGGCGCAUACAAAGAGAAGCGACCUCGCGAGAGCAAGCGGACCUCAUAAAGUGCGUCGUAGUCCGGAUUGGAGUCUGCAACUCGACUCCAUGAAGUCGGAAUCGCUAGUAAUCGUGGAUCAGAAUGCCACGGUGAAUACGUUCCCGGGCCUUGUACACACCGCCCGUCACACCAUGGGAGUGGGUUGCAAAAGAAGUAGGUAGCUUAACCUUCGGGAGGGCGCUUACCACUUUGUGAUUCAUGACUGGGGUGAAGUCGUAACAAGGUAGCCGU